This is a regulatory RNA element of 131 nucleotides. It matches the Rfam family "PyrR binding site". Rfam says of the family: This family represents the PyrR binding site and terminator structure. The record is from Rfam.
GGUACCUUUAAAUUCAGUCCUGUGAGGCUGACAAGGACAGCGGAAGUUGGAAAAGGGGAGGGCUCUCCAUAGCCUUCUUCCUUAUCCUGUGCAAAAAGCUGCUUGUCGAAUCCGGCAAGCAGCUUUUUUUA